GAAGUCUUGCAGCCUGGCAGGGUGAUACACUUCUAUAGUCUUGGCUACUCGAGCUGUGGGCUGUGAUGGACUAUGUUCAUCGGGUGUCCGCACUAAGUUCAGCGUCAGUAUGGUGACCUCUUGGGAGUGGAGGACUGCCAGGCUGCCUAAGGAGGGGUGAACAGGUUCACACGGGAACCGAGCAGGUCAAAACUGAGGUGCUGAUCACUAGUGGGAUCGCACCUGUGAAAAGCCACUGCACUCCAUGCUAAGCAACAUAGUGAGACUAAU
This 270-nucleotide signal recognition particle RNA is filed under the name Rhinopithecus bieti (black snub-nosed monkey). Its description in RNAcentral is "Metazoan signal recognition particle RNA (ENSRBIG00000021702.1)". The stretch from base 57 to 245 matches the Rfam family "Metazoan signal recognition particle RNA", at positions 78 to 268 of the family's 299-position model. Rfam says of the family: The signal recognition particle (SRP) is a universally conserved ribonucleoprotein. The record is from RNAcentral. Lineage: Eukaryota; Metazoa; Chordata; Mammalia; Primates; Cercopithecidae.